Molecule: ribosomal RNA, 484 nt
Filed under: uncultured bacterium
Lineage: Bacteria
Description: partial 16S ribosomal RNA
Rfam family: Bacterial small subunit ribosomal RNA
Source: RNAcentral
AUUGAACGCUGGCGGCAGGCCUAACACAUGCAAGUCGAGCGGAUGAAGGGAGCUUGCUCCUGGAUUCAGCGGCGGACGGGUGAGUAAUGCCUAGGAAUCUGCCUGGUAGUGGGGGAUAACGUCCGGAAACGGGCGCUAAUACCGCAUACGUCCUGAGGGAGAAAGUGGGGGAUCUUCGGACCUCACGCUAUCAGAUGAGCCUAGGUCGGAUUAGCUAGUUGGUGGGGUAAAGGCCUACCAAGGCGACGAUCCGUAACUGGUCUGAGAGGAUGAUCAGUGACACUGGAACUGAGACACGGUCCAGACUCCUACGGGGGGCAGCAGUGGGGAAUAUUGGACAAUGGGCGAAAGCCUGAUCCAGCCAUGCCGCGUGUGUGAAGAAGGUCUUCGGAUUGUAAAGCACUUUAAGUUGGGAGGAAGGGCAGUAAGUUAAUACCUUGCUGUUUUGACGUUACCAACAGAAUAAGCACCGGCUAACUUCGUG